This 77-nucleotide transfer RNA is filed under the name Proteus mirabilis. RNAcentral's name for it is "tRNA-Met". It matches the Rfam family "tRNA". Rfam says of the family: Transfer RNA (tRNA) molecules are approximately 80 nucleotides in length. Their secondary structure includes four short double-helical elements and three loops (D, anti-codon, and T loops). Further hydrogen bonds mediate the characteristic L-shaped molecular structure. tRNAs have two regions of fundamental functional importance: the anti-codon, which is responsible for specific mRNA codon recognition, and the 3' end, to which the tRNAs corresponding amino acid is attached (by aminoacyl-tRNA synthetases). tRNAs cope with the degeneracy of the genetic code in two manners: having more than one tRNA (with a specific anti-codon) for a particular amino acid; and 'wobble' base-pairing, i.e. permitting non-standard base-pairing at the 3rd anti-codon position. Lineage: Bacteria; Pseudomonadati; Pseudomonadota; Gammaproteobacteria; Enterobacterales; Morganellaceae. The record is from RNAcentral.
CGCGGGAUGGAGCAGCAUGGUAGCUCGUCGGGCUCAUAACCCGAAGGUCGUCAGUUCAAAUCUGGCCCCCGCAACCA